GUUUGGGAUCUGUCAGGUAAACUAAGUUGCGAUUAUACCAUACAUACUAUUGCAUCAGUGGGACGCAUUAAAUGGAGACCACAGAAAAAAAUAUCACAUAGCAAGUUGUGUUCUAGUGAUUGAUUGUAGUAUAAAUGUAUGGGAUAUUCGCAGACCAUAUAUUCCAUUUGCAAGUUUCAAUGAACAUAAAGAUGUUCCCACAGAUGUGGGAGAGGCAAUCCACAAUCAUUUCUAUCGACAAGCAGAGAUUGCAUCAUAUUUUUGACCAUACGGUAAGACCAGCCAGCAAAGCGAAUCCGCAAAGUGUUAUGUUCGCGUUAAGUUUAAAGGAUGAAGUCACAUAUGCUUGUAAAGUAAAAUAUGAACCGGCUGCUACCGGCGGCUACCGCAAGACAACUGACUAGUAUAAUGAGGAGAACACUUGUGACAAAUGAAGAUACUUUUUGUGUGCCUUCAAGUGUAACGCAUAGAUUCACUUUGAAACAGAAUUCCGCUAUUGGGACAUUACUUUGUUCAACUUGACAAUAGAAAAAUGUAAGUUUUUUAGUAUUAUAA
Formica exsecta is the source of this 555-nucleotide long non-coding RNA. RefSeq lists it as uncharacterized. Lineage: Eukaryota; Metazoa; Arthropoda; Insecta; Hymenoptera; Formicidae. The record is from RefSeq and is a predicted model, not a curated record. The transcript is spliced from 3 exons.